Molecule: long non-coding RNA, 1276 nt
Filed under: Marmota monax (woodchuck)
Lineage: Eukaryota; Metazoa; Chordata; Mammalia; Rodentia; Sciuridae
Source: RNAcentral
AAUGGAAUACGAAUUUUCAUGUUAAACUCUGACACGAAAAAUUGACGAAUCAGCCAACUCAGAAAGCGAGUAGAGGACUCAAAGAAGCGGCCGCACAGGACACCGGCGCAGGCUGCCGCAUCGCAGGACGUGCUGGUCCCGGAGCACCCUGCGCGGGCGGCCCCGCUCUCACCCAAGCUUUCCCCAGAAGGAGAUGGGACUACGUAAUAAUAAUGGGAAGACGCCCCGCGCCUCCCUGUGCCACCAGUACUCUGCAGCUUUACACCUGAGGUCGCUACCUGGAGAAUUUUUGCCAGGACUAGCGUUAGGGCCCCUCCCCUCUCUCUCCCUCUGACUCUGGACACCUGAGCGAUGUGGACUAGCUGGGCCGGAUUAGAAAGAUCGGGGACUUGUUCUCUCCAGGGGCGUCACUUGGAAGUAAUGGAGGUUUUUGACAGUGAACUUGUUGAAAGGAGGGAGGAAGCGCACCUGGAGAACGGGCAAGAGUUCCCUGGACUCUUAAUUUGUAAAGUCAAGCGUUUUGGAAGGGUACACAGAAGAGGAAACCUAUCCCUUAAUCCUAAACCUUCAGUUCCCACUGGAACACACACAACAUUUUCUCAGAUUUCUUUCCCAAUACAAACAUUGCAGGUUACGUUUUUAUUUAUAAUAGAAAUUGUCAUCCAUUCAAGAAUUUAUGAAUUGUCUGUUUUAAGAAUUUUUUCAAACUGUUUUUGAAGUUUAAUUGACCAAAAUUAUAUAUAUUUGUGAUGGACAGUAUGAUGUUUUGAUGUAGGUACGCGCUGUGAUGUGAUUACCUCAAACUAACACAUCCAUCGCCUCAUAGUUAUUUGUGUAAUGAGAAAUGAUAAGUUCUCUCUUAGCAUGUUAUUAAAUAUAGUCACUAUGCUGCACACUAUAGCUCUAGAAUUUAUUCCUCUGGCCUAAAUGAAACUUUGUUUCCUUUAACUAAAACCUCUCUAUUCCUUUUUCCCCUGGCAAACAUCAUUCUAGUUUCUGCCUCUGCAGAUUCUACUUUUUUAGAUUCUAAACUAUGAAGUAUUUGUGUUUCUGUGUCUGGCUUAUUUCACUUAGCAUAAUGUCUUCCAAGUUUGUCUAUGCUGACAUAAAUGACACAAUUUCCUUUUUAAGGCUGAAUAAUAUUCCAUUGUGUAUGUGUGUGUGUACAUAUAUAUUACAUUUUCUUUUUUCCCAGAGAAAAAAAAAUUUUGACUUCUCUCUCAUAUCUUCAUGCAUCACCUUCUCAGGGGCUGCCCACAGGAAUUCUGACCCUGCU